Molecule: non-coding RNA, 29 nt
Filed under: Rattus norvegicus (Norway rat)
Lineage: Eukaryota; Metazoa; Chordata; Mammalia; Rodentia; Muridae
Source: RNAcentral
UCCCACCACGACAAGCUGUUUCCCCUAGA